AUCUAUUUUGAGUUUGUGUAAGGCACAGGACAGCUGGAGUGCAACAUGUAUGGAGGUUCAAUUUUUCAAUAGCUUAGUAAUAAAUCAGUUACUCAUUCAGUAGAUUAGAAAUGCUUUUGUAGAUUUAAAGUCUAUAACUAUGUAGACUGGAAUAUUGGUUGCUAUAAUCUGUUUGGUACCAGCCCUUGCCUGAAACAAUGAACAUUUGGGGCAUUUUUCCUACAAAUAAAGGAGGCCGGCCAGUCGCCAUAUGACUUGACAACCAACUAAACAAUUGUUUCUAGUUUAGCUAAGGGUUUGUUUAAGAUAUGGUCAAUGUUAACAUUUUUAGAUUGGAAUGUUGUUUUGUUAACCCAGUGACUUUUCAGUAAACCUAUAGACCAUGGAGUCUGAAUGGCUUAAGUGGCAUUAAAUGUGAUGAUGGAUAGAUGUCAGGAAAUGGAUGGUAAAAGCACACCUGUGACAGAGUAAUGAAGUACUUGACAUGCAUGGUGGAAGUUGAUCGAGACUAUCAAUUCUUCGAGAGGUCCAGCGACUUUAUACUCGCAAGAAGGAUAUGGUAUGGAAUAGCUUUCUACACGUCUGGGCUGGCAGAUUUGUAAGAUUGGAAGUUGUUUCAGUGUGGAGAGAGAUGAACACUUUGUAUGGUCAGGUAAAAUUUGCUUUUGAAGUCAAAAGUAAGUCUUGAUAAAGGCAUUGCCAUUUCUAGUUGUUUAACUAGCUAUGUACUGGAAAGUUGGUGGUUCUACUCUUAUUAGGUGUCUGUCUUUGUCCGAGACAAUGCCAUUAAGGCACAUUUUCCUCUACCUUUAAAGCUGGACAGUCACGCAAAAAUAAAACUUAGAAUUGUAUCUGUUUAAUGGAAAUAUUGUAUAGGUUAUACUGUUACUUUUUGAGAUUGCAAUGUUGUUCUGUUAACCCCAGAGAUAUUUCAGAAAAUCCUUGCAACAUGUUGGCUAGAUUUCUAGAUUGAUGUUGGAAGUUGUGUUUGAUGGAUUUAUGUUGGAAUGUGGAUGGUUUUGUGACAUUGGUGAAGAUUUGUCAGAUUUGGAGUUGCCCCAGUGCGGAGAGAGAUGGACACAGUGUAUCGAUAAAAAAAACUACUCAAGGAUGUCACAGGAGAUCUGAUGGUUCAUCGGAAAAUGGUGUAGUGUGUGUGUAUGUUAAUCUGACGGGAUAAUGAUUACAUUAUAUAUUGUUAAAUGGUGAGUACUAGAUGAUAUUUUCCAUCAAGUUAUCAAGACGGUAAGAAUUGCAGUGAUUUUAGUCACUCAGCAGUGUGAAAGACGAGGCAAGUACAGAACAGAGAGAUCUGACCACGGUUAUUGAAGUGAAUGUAAUAUGUCAGCAAGGAAAAGCUGUGAAUUUAUUUGAUUCUCUUAAGAAAGACAAGUUUAUUAUGUAAGCAAUAUUAAAAAAAAAUCAUUUUGCCCAACAAUAUUGAACAUGUUUUUUUAUAACAAAUUUUGUUGUGUAUCAACAUACACACCAAAAUCAUUUCAUUUGAAAUUGCAUAUAAAUAAAUUUGACCCACAAAUGUUCAUGACCAUGUUUAUUCUGUUGACACCAAGUCCGUCUGCUUGUCUAGCUCAUUAGGGAGAGCAUCAUUUUCGUAAUCCUCACUAGGAGCCGCUGGUUCCAUCCUAUGGCAUGGCAUAAUUUCACCAUGGCAAUAGAUGUUAUCCGGAACUCGGCAAAUGUGAGUUUUUCUAAGCUUAAAUCUACCGGUACAAACUAUUAAGGUUAUUUCUUUACGGUGCACUACUGGUCACGAUUGUCAACCUAUUGCACCUAUUUUCAAAGUUGUAACUGUAAAAGUUUGUUUAAGCUGGGAAAAAACAAAAAUAUUCUUUUAUUCCGUAGUAAGUCUGUUGAUCUCAGAUAUUGUGUCGAUUGGUCAUUUAAUUGUCUCUCACUGUUGAUUCUGAAAUCAUUUUAAGUCCCCUACCAGUUUAUCGGAGGGGACUUUAGGUUUACCCUCCGUCUGUCUGUCUGUCUGUCCGUCUGUCUGUCUGUCCGUCUGUCUGUCUGUCUGUCAGUCCGUCAGUCUGUCCGUCCACAAAACUGGAUCCCUCGAUAACUUGAAAAGUACUGAAAAUAUUUUUAUGAAACUUGAUAUAUGGAUGGAUGGCAGUAUGGAGAUUAUGAACGUUUUUUUCUUUUCUUCCUAUGUUGAAAAUUCUGGUUGCUAUGGCAACAAAUAGGCUUAAAAUAUGGCAAAUUUUACACAUAAACUGGAUCCAGUGAUAACACAAAAAGUACUGGAAAUAUUUUUAUGAAACUUGAAAUAUGGGUAGAUGGCAGUCUGGAGAUUAUGCACGUCUUUUUCUUUUCUUCCUAUGUUGAAAAUUCUGGUUGCUAUGGCAACAAAUAGACUGAAAAUAUGGCAAAUUUUACACAUAAACUGGAUCCUGUGUUAACGCAAAAAGUAAUAGAAAUAUUUUUAUGAAACUUGUAAUAUGGGUAGAUGGCAGUCUUGAGAUUAUGCAUGUCUUAUCUGUUCUCCCUAUUUUGAAAAAAUAUUGGUUGCCUUGGCAACAAAUAGGCUUAAAACAUGGCAAAUAUAACAUUGUUUGUGAUAAGUCAAAAAGAGCUGAAUUUUUUUUUAUGAAAUUGCAUCUUUAAUUCAAGAGUUAUCUCCUCUUUAAGCAUUUUGCUUUUAAAAAUGUUAUAUUUUGGUAACAGGGAUGUUUCAAAUAUUAACUUUAGAGUGUCCUUCAGUCCGUCUGUCUGUCUGUUCAUAAAAACUGUUUCCUGUGAUCACUUUUAAAGAACUUUUCCAACAAAUUUACUUAAAAUAUAGAAAAAUUGAAACAUUAGUGAAUGGCCAUUGGCCCUUCAGAAUGUUGAUGGGGUUCCAACCGGUAGGGGACUUAUGGAUUGCUUGCAAUACUAUGAUAAUUGCUUGUUGAUAUUAGUUAAGUCGGUUCAAUUGUUGAGAAACUGGUUAGUUAUCCAGGAAUACCCAUUAUGGUGUUCAACCUCCAAGAUGUGGCCAUAAACAUGUUUUGGUAGUCUUAACUUAAUGCUUUGCCGCCAAAACAAUUCUAACAUUGGCCAAUAUGGUAGCAAAUCGGUUAUUUACCCAACUAUUUUCUCAGAAUCUUUAGCAAUAGAUUAUAAACAAUCAUCCUUUAUCACUAUGUACUAAAUUCUGGUUAUCAAUGGUUGAACAUUGUUGGAUACCAAAAAAUUUGAAAAAUAACGUUCCUGAAAUGACUGAUUUAUUACGAUAUUGGCUGAUGUUGAAACAAUUUUUGGCAGGAAAGCAUUGCAGUAAGACUACUUAAAGUCAGAGUUAAAUCCAGAAAGAUAAUAAAAAAAUUUACACCCAGUAAGUACUGGUAAGUUCCAGGAAUUUUACUUUAAAUGGUUCAAAUAAGCAAUAUACUUUGUUCACUAUCAACCAUAUAUAAAUGAUGAUUAACCUUAAAGGCACUCCACUGAGGUCCAAUAGCCUUAAAUAAUAAAUUAUGAAAUUCUUUCUUACA
Long non-coding RNA from Ruditapes philippinarum (Manila clam), 3491 nucleotides. RefSeq lists it as uncharacterized. The transcript is spliced from 4 exons. NCBI's taxonomy places the organism in Eukaryota, Metazoa, Mollusca, Bivalvia, Venerida, Veneridae. The record is from RefSeq and is a predicted model, not a curated record.